GAUGAACGCUGGCGGCGUGCCUAAUACAUGCAAGUCGAGCGAACAGACGAGGAGCUUGCUCCUCUGACGUUAGCGGCGGACGGGUGAGUAACACGUGGAUAACCUACCUAUAAGACUGGGAUAACUUCGGGAAACCGGAGCUAAUACCGGAUAAUAUAUUGAACCGCAUGGUUCAAUAGUGAAAGACGGUUUUGCUGUCACUUAUAGAUGGAUCCGCGCCGCAUUAGCUAGUUGGUAAGGUAACGGCUUACCAAGGCGACGAUGCGUAGCCGACCUGAGAGGGUGAUCGGCCACACUGGAACUGAGACGCGGUCCAGACUCCUACGGGAGGCAGCAGUGGGGAAUCUUCCGCAAUGGGCGAAAGCCUGACGGAGCAACGCCGCGUGAGUGAUGAAGGUCUUCGGAUCGUAAAACUCUGUUAUUAGGGAAGAACAAAUGUGUAAGUAACUAUGCACGUCUUGACGGUACCUAAUCAGAAAGCCACGGCUAACUACGUG
Molecule: ribosomal RNA, 497 nt
Filed under: uncultured bacterium
Lineage: Bacteria
Description: partial 16S ribosomal RNA
Rfam family: Bacterial small subunit ribosomal RNA
Source: RNAcentral